GUCAGCGUUGUGUAGUGGUUUGAGCAUUGGACUACUACUCUGGGGACCUGGGUUCAGAUCCCAGCUCAGCCA
Non-coding RNA from Phrynosoma platyrhinos (Desert horned lizard), 72 nucleotides. The record is from the annotation of a GenBank genome assembly. NCBI's taxonomy places the organism in Eukaryota, Metazoa, Chordata, Lepidosauria, Squamata, Phrynosomatidae.